RNAcentral lists this long non-coding RNA (924 nucleotides) under Equus caballus (horse). Its description in RNAcentral is "lncRNA (ENSECAG00000055542.1)". The record is from RNAcentral. Lineage: Eukaryota; Metazoa; Chordata; Mammalia; Perissodactyla; Equidae.
CAGCAGGUUCAGUGGUGCAGAGGGCGUGUAGACUCACUUUUUCUUCCUAACGUCCUUAAUGUACCUGAGAGUGGAGUGGAGGAGAAUGGUGGAAAAGCAGCGACCCAGUGUUUUGUGGCCAGUGUGUGACGCAGACAGGUGUUUUUUUGAGGAGAGGUGAAGAUGUUAAAUGAGAAGAAAUGGAGAGAAAAGCAGAGGACAGACAGAGGGCCUGGGCUCCUUCAUCCAGUUCAACGAACAUUUACUGAAGCCAAUAAAGAGCUCACAUUUUGCAGGCCAGGAGGAAGAGAAGAUUUUAUUUUCCUUUCAACCGGAGUGAAACUGCUUCACAGGCAGGGCUGGUGGGCUUUAUCUUUGUGUUCUCGGGAACUGUCACAGUGCCUGGAGCUUAGAAGGAACUCCAAAAAUAUUUAUGAAGCUGAAAAUAUCACCAGGUUGUUAAUAAAACUUCAAAUUGCCCCCCUACCUCCCCAUCCCAUUUUCACAUCAAACCAACACCAUGUGAGAGACUUCUGCUUCUGGUUUGGUCAAGUAGCCCCUCUGGGGCCAACCCUCAUAAAGAUAAAAACUACGAACUCUGGACAAUACAUAUUGAAAAAACCCAAUUACUUGAAGGCACUAGACAGUGAAUACAAGCACACAGAUACCGGAAGAGAGCCAAUUCAUGGACAACGUGGGAAAAAUCAGAGAUGGAGAGCCUCAAAUUCUGUUUCUAAACUCUGCCUAAAUCUCUGGCUAAUCUCUGAAUCACGUACGUGCAAGAAAUUGACUUAAAAAAAAUCAAUAGUCUUCCAAAGAACAUAACAGAAUUCAGAGUUUCUAUAACAUAUUUCCCAUAAUGUCUGGGAUAUAACCCAAAAUUAAUUGAUGUAUGAAGAAACAGAAACACAUGAUCUAUACGUAAGGAAACACAAAAUUUAUAAC